AUGAACGCUGGCGGCGUGCUUAACCCAUGCAAGUCGAACGGAAAGGCCCAAGCUUGCUUGGGUACUCGAGUGGCGAACGGGUGAGUAACACGUGGGUGAUCUGCCCUGCACUUCGGGAUAAGCCUGGGAAACUGGGUCUAAUACCGGAUAGGACCACUUCUUGGAUGUUGUGGUGGAAAGUUUUCUCGGUGUGGGAUGAGCUCGCGGCCUAUCAGCUUGUUGGUGGGGUAAUGGCCUACCAAGGCGUCGACGGGUAGCCGGCCUGAGAGGGUGUACGGCCACAUUGGGACUGAGAUACGGCCCAGACUCCUACGGGGGGCAGCAGUGGGGAAUAUUGCACAAUGGGCGCAAGCCUGAUGCAGCGACGCCGCGUGGGGGAUGACGGCCUUCGGGUUGUAAACUCCUUUCGCUAGGGACGAAGCGUUUUUGUGACGGUACCUGGAGAAGAAGCACCGGCUAACUACGUG
Molecule: ribosomal RNA, 467 nt
Filed under: uncultured bacterium
Lineage: Bacteria
Description: partial 16S ribosomal RNA
Rfam family: Bacterial small subunit ribosomal RNA
Source: RNAcentral